AGUGGCCACAGUAUUGGCCCGUGUAGCCCCAGGAUAUCUCAAAUUAUCUUAAAGCUAGAUCAGUGAUUAAAGGAUUCUCAGGCCAGGCAUGGUAGUUUUCAGGCCUGGUAUGGUGGUUUACGCCUGUAAUCCCCGCACUUUGGGAGGCCUAGGUGGGCGGAUGGCUUGAGCCCGGGAGUUUGAGACCAGCCUAGCCAACAUGGGGAGACCCUGUCUUUACAAAAGCACAAAAAUUAGCUGGGCAUGGUGAUGCGCAACUGUAGUCUCAAGUACGUUGUGUGAGGUGGGAGGAUCACUUGAGCCCGGGAGGUCGAGGCUGCAGUGAGCUGAGAUUGCACAACUGCACUCCAGCCUGGGUGACAGAAUGAGACCCUGUCUCAAAAAAAAAAAAAAAGGAUUCUCAGAAAGGCUGGCGAUUACUUUUUAAGCUAUAAGGAAGGCCUUUGAAGGGAAAUCAAAUAGGAAGAGGAUGAUAGCUGGCUCACAUGUCCUUGCCACAUGGGAGGAAGAGUGUCUUCAUCUCUGCAUCCCUAGUGCAACAGAGCAUGAUAAAAAUUCAAUAAAUAUUUAUUGCAGAGUCUUGAUGUCUUUUGGGAAAGGAACUCUAUGGUUACCUUUACUCUAAGUUGCUUAUAAUCUAGGUGAGGACACAUCUGAGAGAAUAACUAAUAGUUCAGUGAAGAUUAGAAGGGUGUUACUGAUUCUUACCUCAGAGAAGAGAAUGUCAUGGAGACAAAAUGACCUGCUUAGAGUUCUGCGCCCCCCAGCAUGGAGAGCAGAGCGCAAAGAUUUCCUCCAGACUCCCACAUUCUCCCUUGGAAUCCAAGAACUUGUCUACUAUCACAACACUUUAGUACCCACUUCUCCUAAGGAGGCAGCAGAAACCAAGGUAAUCACAAUGGUCAACAGCAGCGAAGGCAGCACUUUCUGAUUUUAAACUUGACUGCUAUGGAUGCCACCUCAG
Molecule: non-coding RNA, 964 nt
Filed under: Pongo abelii (Sumatran orangutan)
Lineage: Eukaryota; Metazoa; Chordata; Mammalia; Primates; Hominidae
Source: RNAcentral